CCGUAAUCGGAAUGAGUACACUUUAAAUCCUUUAACAAGGAUCCAUUGGAGGGCCAGUCUGGUGCCAGCAGCCGCGGUAAUUCCAGCUCCAAUAGCGUAUAUUAAAGUUGUUGCGGUUAAAAAGCUCGUAGUUGGUUCUGCGUGCCGCGCUGUCGGUUCGCCGCCUGUCGGUGUUACUGGCAUGUCGCGGCAUGUCCUGUCGGUGGUGAAUAAAGUCCCCGGUACUGCGUAGGCUAUUAUUAGCUGAAGUUGUUUAUCGUGGUGACUUUAUUUGCCGAUUUCUCCUACUCCGGUGCUCUUAAACGAGUGUCGAGGUAGGCCGACACGUUCACUUUGAACAAAUUAGAGUGCUUAAAGCAGGCUGAAAUAUCUGCCUGAAUAGUGGUGCAUGGAAUAAUAAAAUAGGACCUCGGUUCUAUUUUAUUGGUUUUAGGAAUAUGAGGUAAUGAUCAAUGUGGACUGGCGGGGGCAUUCGUAUUGCGACGUUAGAGGUGAAAUUCUUGGAUCGUCGCAAGACGCACUAAAGCGAAAGCAUUUGCCAAGUAUGUCUUAAUUGAUCAAGAACGAAAGUUAGAGGUUCGAAGGCGAUCAGAUACCGCCCUAGUUCUAACCAUAAACGAUGCCAGCCAGCGAUCCGCCGAUGUUCCUUUAAUGACUCGGCGGGGAGCUUCUACCCGGGAAACCAAAGCUUUUGGGUUCCGGGGGAAGUAUGGUUGCAAAGCUGAAACUUAAAGGAAUUGACGGAAGG
RNAcentral lists this ribosomal RNA (748 nucleotides) under Ectrychotes sp. MF-2016. RNAcentral's name for it is "SSU rRNA". It matches the Rfam family "Eukaryotic small subunit ribosomal RNA", at positions 503 to 1163 of the family's 1831-position model. Lineage: Eukaryota; Metazoa; Arthropoda; Insecta; Hemiptera; Reduviidae. The record is from RNAcentral.